This 253-nucleotide ribosomal RNA is filed under the name uncultured bacterium. Its description in RNAcentral is "partial 16S ribosomal RNA". It matches the Rfam family "Bacterial small subunit ribosomal RNA", at positions 524 to 776 of the family's 1533-position model. The record is from RNAcentral.
UACGGAGGGGGCUAGCGUUAAUCGGAAUUACUGGGCGUAAAGCGUGCGCAGGCGGCGCGUUAAGACAGGUGUGAAAGCCCCGAGCUUAACUUGGGAAUUGCGCUUGUGACUGGCGUGCUGGAGUGUGGCAGAGGGAGGUGGAAUUCCACGUGUAGCAGUGAAAUGCGUAGAGAUGUGGAGGAACACCGAUGGCGAAGGCAGCCUCCUGGGCCAGCACUGACGCUCAUGCACGAAAGCGUGGGGAGCAAACAGG